This 199-nucleotide long non-coding RNA is filed under the name Nicotiana benthamiana. RNAcentral describes it as "long non-coding RNA (NBEN_LNC029225)". Lineage: Eukaryota; Viridiplantae; Streptophyta; Magnoliopsida; Solanales; Solanaceae. The record is from RNAcentral.
UCUUUUAUUAAUGAUACUGGUUUGGUCUGCCUCUCCAUGGAGAGGUUCAGAGCCUUACAAUGAUGUGUUAUCCCUUCUUUUAGAAAUAGAUGUGAAGAAGAAGAAACAGCCCCCCUUUUAGGGUUCUUUCUUUUAGUAUUUAUACCUAGGAAAUCUGCGUGAGGACGGCUAGGCCGUGGCCUUAGUUGUCAAAUUGGAU